CUCAAAUGACCAUUUGAAAUUCAAAUCCUACGAGUGGCCUUGAUUCUGUCAUCUACAAUCGCAGAACUCACUUUGUAGCUCCAUGGAGAGAUUUGCCCAAAGUAGUCGAUUCUGCUUCUGUAGCUCCUGUCAUCCUCUGUUGCCUGCACAAAUAUGGCAAAUGGUUUUGAUCUUCUCUAGUCCGCUUUUUUGUGGAUUCCAAUACCUAAGAUCAUUUGUACAACACCAAUUUGAAUUCAAAUUACAUUGAUAAAGAAUCUACGUCUUCCCUUCAUGAUUGGAGAGGCUUGUAGUAGAACCAAUACUCCAUCUAUAAGCGAGAACACUUUGUGCAUUCAGGUUCAUCUGAGCUUCUAUGCACCCAAAAUCAUUUGCUUACAACAUUUACACACUUUCAAGCAUAUUGACACCUUUAUGUUCUAUAGACUGUUCACUUUUUAUUUCAUCAAUCAAAACUCUUUGACGACCACAUGCCCUCUAGUUUGUAAAAGUUUUGCAUGGUCCAACCAAGCUCGUUGACAACUUCAUGUCAUUUGUUUUGUUCCUCUUCUAUAGGUCCAUUCCAAUCCUUUUUGGCAAUCACACGUCCUCC
RNAcentral lists this long non-coding RNA (592 nucleotides) under Eucalyptus grandis. Its description in RNAcentral is "long non-coding RNA (EGRA_LNC001058)". Lineage: Eukaryota; Viridiplantae; Streptophyta; Magnoliopsida; Myrtales; Myrtaceae. The record is from RNAcentral.